Molecule: ribosomal RNA, 253 nt
Filed under: uncultured bacterium
Lineage: Bacteria
Description: partial 16S ribosomal RNA
Rfam family: Bacterial small subunit ribosomal RNA
Source: RNAcentral
UACAGAGGGUGCGAGCGUUGUUCGGAAUUACUGGGCGUAAAGCGCGCGCAGGCGGUCUUCCAAGUCAGUGGUGAAAGCCCGGAGCUCAACUCCGGAACUGCCAUUGAAACUGUUAGACUUGAGGAUGAGAGAGGUGAGUGGAAUUCCCAGUGUAGAGGUGAAAUUCGUAGAUAUUGGGAAGAACACCGGUGGCGAAGGCGGCUCACUGGCUCAUUACUGACGCUCAGGCGCGAUAGCGUGGGGAUCAAACAGG